GUAGGUGGCAAGCGUUGUCCGGAAUUAUUGGGCGUAAGGCGCGCGCAGGCGGUCCUUUAAGUCUGAUGUGAAAGCCCACGGCUCAACCGUGGAGGGUCAUUGGAAACUGGGGGACUUGAGUACAGAAGAGGAAAGCGGAAUUCCACGUGUAGCGGUGAAAUGCGUAGAGAUGUGGAGGAACACCAGUGGCGAAGGCGGCUUUCUGGUCUGUAACUGACGCUGAGGCGCGAAAGCGUGGGGAGCAAACAGGGAUUAGAUACCCUGGUAGUCCACGCCGUAAACGAUGAGUGCUAAGUGUUAGGGGGUUUCCCGCCCCCUUAGUGCUGCAGCUAACGCAUUAAGCACUCCGCCUGGGGAUACGGCCGCAAGGCUG
This 373-nucleotide ribosomal RNA is filed under the name uncultured organism. RNAcentral describes it as "partial 16S ribosomal RNA". It matches the Rfam family "Bacterial small subunit ribosomal RNA", at positions 527 to 896 of the family's 1533-position model. The record is from RNAcentral.